This 181-nucleotide non-coding RNA is filed under the name uncultured Xylanibacillus sp. RNAcentral's name for it is "6S / SsrS RNA". It matches the Rfam family "6S / SsrS RNA". Rfam says of the family: E. coli 6S RNA was the first non coding RNA to be sequenced, but its function was unknown until recently. It consists of 184 nucleotides that fold into an extended hairpin structure with a large single-stranded internal bulge. The 6S RNA specifically associates with RNA polymerase holoenzyme containing the sigma70 specificity factor. Lineage: Bacteria; Bacillati; Bacillota; Bacilli; Caryophanales; Paenibacillaceae. The record is from RNAcentral.
UAUCCUGCAUUGUACGUAAAGUUCCAUUAUUGUUUUGAACCAAUGAUUGUUUCACGGGAUUCCAACAUCUUGACGUGGCUGACCUGCCCCCAUAAGGGGACUUCAAAAGCGUCUUUGCGGAAACCCACCUGCGAGAGCGGGUUCAUGAAACAAGUAGAACUGUACGGCAAUCGCGGGUAUU